RNAcentral lists this ribosomal RNA (806 nucleotides) under uncultured bacterium. Its description in RNAcentral is "bacterial SSU rRNA". It matches the Rfam family "Bacterial small subunit ribosomal RNA", at positions 8 to 796 of the family's 1533-position model. The record is from RNAcentral.
AGAGUUUGAUCAUGGCUCAGAACGAACGCUGGCGGCGUGCCUAACACAUGCAAGUCGAGCGCGAAUGGAGCAAUCCUAGUAGAGCGGCGCACGGGUGCGUAACACGUGGAUAAUCUGCCUGGGUGUCUGGGAUAACCAGUCGAAAGAUUGGCUAAUACCGGAUGAGCCCCCGGGAGCUUCGGCUCUUGAGGGAAAAGGUGGCCUCUGUAAACAAGCUAUCACAUCCAGAUGAGUCCGCGGCCCAUCAGCUAGUUGGCGGGGUAAUGGCCCACCAAGGCAACGACGGGUAGCUGGUCUGAGAGGACGAUCAGCCACACUGGAACUGAGACACGGUCCAGACUCCUACGGGAGGCAGCAGUGGGGAAUUUUGCGCAAUGGGCGAAAGCCUGACGCAGCAACGCCGCGUGUGUGAUGAAGGUCUUCGGAUUGUAAAGCACUUUCGACCGGGACGAAAACCCUGAGGCCAACACCCUCAGGCUUGACGGUACCGGGAGAAGAAGCACCGGCUAACUCUGUGCCAGCAGCCGCGGUAAUACAGAGGGUGCAAGCGUUGUUCGGAAUUAUUGGGCGUAAAGCGCGUGUAGGCGGCUUUGCAAGUCGGGUGUGAAAGCCCUCAGCUCAACUGAGGAAGUGCGCCCGAAACUGCAGAGCUUGAGUGCCGGAGAGGGUGGCGGAAUUCCCCAAGUAGAGGUGAAAUUCGUAGAUAUGGGGAGGAACACCGGUGGCGAAGGCGGCCACCUGGACGGUAACUGACGCUGAGACGCGAAAGCGUGGGGAGCAAACAGGAUUAGAUACCCUAGUAGUCC